GUGAGAGGCUGGAUGCUUGCUUUCCUGUGAUUCAUCAUAAAACAAAUUUUCCUCUUGCAUUUCUUAGAAGAGACAACUGUUGCUCGGGCCCAUGGAACAAGAACAUCUAUAAACCCAGGCAGAGUUCCCAGGAGGGUUUGUGAAAUGCUAGAGCAGGAAGAGGCCUUGGGACCCAGCAGGUUUGGCCACCUUGCUUUACAUCUGAGAAAAUUGAGGCCCAGAGAGGUCAGAGUCAUCCAAAGCACCAAGGCUGGGGUCCCGGAUUUGCACCCAGCAUGGACACCCACUGUACAGUGCCCAGAAAUGGCCAGGACCCUUCAAAGAAGCUGAGCUAAGGCUGGGCCUCCCCUCUCCUACAGCAACUCGGCUGACUGUGUGUCUGUGUGUCUUUGAAUUUUCCAGGACAGUGAAGCCAGGUGAGACCCUCAGAUUCCAAAUAAAAUGCAUCCCAACAAAAGUUGGACCCAAGAAAUUUAUCAAGUUUAGUUCUAAUCAGGUGAACAGGUACUCACUGAGAAGACAGUUCUCAUGGCCAACUAACCACUGCCUGAUGCUGUGGAAAAGGCAGGAGUUCUGACUGGCACGGAGUCUUGGCUGAGCUCUCCAGCACUUCCUGUUUUGGGAUUAGCUUUCAGAUAGAUUUUAUUACUCUUUAGAUUUCAGAUGAUUAGAUUUGAUUGUUCAUAGGAGGGGGGAUUUAAGAGCCAGCUGAGUGAUAGAGUUCAAAGGCCAACACUAACCUUAGGCAGCAGGACCCAUCAAGUCAGGUGAUGUGCAAUCACAGGAUGGCCUCAUUGACAGCCUGGGCCACAGAACCCCCUGCCCCACCCCGGCCUUGAGUCAUAGCCUUAAAGGGCAGGGCUACCACUAUCUGCAAUCAGAACCAAAGUAGUCCACAGCCACAGAGUCCCUCCCUGGAGCCACAGGCUAUCAGAAGCCCAGAGCUGCCACCCAUUUGGCCCUGAGAAGGUACCACCUCUUUCAGACAGCCCUGGAAGCACUUGCCAAAUGGAGCCUUCCCCCAGCACAGGGCUGGCCUGCUGGGAGUACAUUCCCUCCUCUCUGAAAUCCCAGGACUCCCCGUCCCAGCCCUCCUGCCUCCCUGAGGGGGGCCCCUUUCCCUCAGACCUUGGCACACACACAGCCUGUGCCUAGGCCUGCCCACUAAACCAGGAGUAGGACUCAGAGCCAGGCACUGUCUCUUUGCCUUUGACUUUCAAAAAAGAUUCAGGCAACUUCAAACUGUGGCACCUUAAACCUAACUCCACCAUCCCUAUGCUUCCCCUGUGCUGGUGAGUCUUCGAGGCACCUGCAGUGUAGCAGGAAUUUCCAGUCUUCCAUGCGCAAGCCCCAGCCCCUUGGUGGCGGCAGGUGACCAGUGGUCCCUCCUAUUUGAUGAGAUGAAAGAGAAACUGAGGACACACCUGGGCCAGUUCUUCUCCAGCACUCUCCCCCCAUGCAAUCUCAGAGAUUUAAGUUUCUUGGAUUUUAAAAAACUAGUGGGUUAAAAAACCUGAUCGCAAAGUUUCUCCUCAGAGGAUACAUCCUAAUUACAGAGGGCAAAACAGUAACUUUACAGUAAGAGCACUGCAGCUAUCACCUUGGCAGAAUCGCAGUUAGCAUCACCAAGAAUAAGACAUAUCAACACCAAGUGCCUUCAGAUAUGGUGCCCGAGAACAACAGAACAUCAUGUCACUGGUUUUCCUGCCCUAGUGCAUCAUCUCAAUCUAAUUAUGAAAAAACAUUAGACAAAUGAAGAUUGCAGGAUAUUCUACAGGAUACCUGGCGUAUGAAUUUUAGAAGGGUCAAAAUCUGAUUAAAUUAUUUUGGAACCAGAUAGAAGAAGUGGUUGUACAACAUUAUGAAUGUACUAAUUGCCAUUGAACCACACUUUAAAAUGGUUCAUUUUAUGUUAUGUGAAUUUCACCUCAAUUGGAAAAAGGAAUGGAGUUCCCUGGUGGCCCAGUGGGUUAAGGACUCAGUGUUGUCACUACUGUGGCUUGGGUUUGACCCCUGGCCCAGGAACUUCUGUAUGCCACACGCGCAGCCACAACAACAACAAAAGGAUCAAGUUCAUGAAGGAAAAAGACUGAGGAACUGCCAUGGAUGAGAAGAGACUGAAGAGGCAAAUGACAUCAUAUGGCAUCUGGAACAGAGAAGGAUACCAGUGGGACAACUGAAGAAAUUUGAAUCAAGAACAUAGAUUAGUUAAUGGUGUUUUAUAGAUAAAUUUCCAAUUUUUAUAUUUGAAUUAUGGUUUUAAAAGAUGUUUUACAGACUAAUUAGAAGGCACAGGGGAGCUCUUUGAACUAUUUUUACUACUUUUUUGCUAAGUCAGAAAUUACUUCUCAAUAAAACGUUAAAAAAAAAAAUCCGAGAUACAAUGAUUUAGGC
Molecule: long non-coding RNA, 2394 nt
Organism: Phacochoerus africanus (Common warthog)
Lineage: Eukaryota; Metazoa; Chordata; Mammalia; Artiodactyla; Suidae
Exons: 3
Source: RefSeq, a predicted model, not a curated record